CCUACGGGUGGCAGCAGUGGGGAAUAUUGCACAAUGGGGGAAACCCUGAUGCAGCGACGCCGCGUGAGUGAAGAAGUAUUUCGGUAUGUAAAGCUCUAUCAGCAGGGAAGAAAAUGACGGUACUAGAUUAAGAAGCCCCGGCUACCUACGGGCCAGCAGCCGCGGCAAUACGUAGGGGGCAAGCGUGAUCCGGAUUUACUGGGUGUAAAGGGAGCGUAGGCGGCAGCACAAGUCUGGAGUGAAAGGCCUGGGCUUAACCCCGGGAGUGCUUGGGAAACUGUGCAGCUAGAGUGCAGGAGAGGGAAGUGGAAUUCCUAGUGUAGCGGUGAAAUGCGUAGAUAUUAGGAGGAACACCAGUGGCGAAGGCGGCUUACUGGACUGUAACUGACGCUGAGGCACGAAAGCGUGGGGAGCGAACAGGAUUAGAUACCCCUGUAGUC
Molecule: ribosomal RNA, 440 nt
Filed under: uncultured bacterium
Lineage: Bacteria
Description: partial 16S ribosomal RNA
Rfam family: Bacterial small subunit ribosomal RNA
Source: RNAcentral